RNAcentral lists this ribosomal RNA (259 nucleotides) under Chloropicon mariensis. RNAcentral describes it as "partial Bacterial large subunit ribosomal RNA". It matches the Rfam family "Bacterial large subunit ribosomal RNA", at positions 2581 to 2850 of the family's 2925-position model. The record is from RNAcentral. Lineage: Eukaryota; Viridiplantae; Chlorophyta; Chloropicophyceae; Chloropicales; Chloropicaceae.
UCGCAGAUUAAAAAGGUACGCGAGUUGGGUUCAAUACGAUGAGAGUCAGUAUGGUUCCUAUCUUCUAGAUAGAAGAAUUAUUAAGUUUGGACGGAUCUUUAGUACGAAAGGACUUAGAUCUGCGUUCCUCUAGUGUACCAAUUGUUGAGUCUAUACUUGGCAUCGUUGGGUAGCCACGAACGUUAAGGAGAAGAGCUGAAGGCAUAUAAGCUACGAAACCAACCAAAGGAAAUAAUAUAAGGCAGGAGGUAGACUACCU